UUGUCUCUCCAAUUAUAUGGUCAGCUGCGUUAACUAUGAUUUUGUCCAUUUAUAUAGUUGCAUGGACUUAUUUAGUUCGUUGACUUAAGUUGUAGCUACUUAUUGUCAAACCCUUACUGGAAUUCAAUCAAACUGAAUCCAUAUGAUGUAAUCUUGUUUUGUUGUACUGAUGUCUGCUAUAGUUUGUCAUGCCUGAUAUUUUUCAUCUCUUUCUUUUCAAUGAGUGAUGAACUCAUAAAGAGGAAAAAUGAACCUAAUUUAUGGUCGGUUAAAAUCAAGAGGAAAAAUGAACCUAAUUUAUGCUUGGUUAAAAUCACAAUUGGUAUAGAAUUCUUCACAAUCGCUAUAAAAUUAUUCACUCUCAACUUUGAUUCCCUUUUUAGAUAGUUCUCUGUUACAUUAGUUGAUUAUAUUUAGCAGCCUGCUAAACAAUUUCCCUGAAAAAACAAAAUCCAGCUUCCGAUGGAUAACCACCAUUAAGGCAACUAUAUAGUCAUAUUCAUUGAGGCUCCUUCAAUAGUCAGGAAUCCCAUGAGAAUAUAGAGUGGUUUGAAGUAUAUAUAACUUGGCUGAAGUUCACAUUGAAUUUGCUGUCCCCAGUGGAUUGGAAGACAUUAUCUCUUGCUCUCCAUCAAAGUUUGUAACAAAGAAGCUUGAACCCAGUAGUAAUGGGUUGACAUUUGAACAUAUUUUAAAGAAUGAAGCUUUAGAGACUCUAUGGGGUUGGUUGCUCCAUUAGCCCCUCUCUACUUGAAACUUUUGAACACUUCCUGCCAUCCUUAGAGCAUUGAGAGCAGUUUGGUAGAUACUAAUCAUCACACUUGUUAAUCCCAUAUGAACACCAUGACCUACACUAAACCUAACACCAUUCCGAACUUCCCACACCUAUGCUUUAAGUCUUGCCUACGCUUGGGAUUCGUGAUGAGCAUAUUUACAAGGAUUCCUUCCUCUAUAGACUCACCUUCUGAACAGAUUUUCUCUACAGCCAUUUGGAUAUGAGAGUGACAUUUAACCAGGUUUGGGAUCCUGAAUUCCCGGACCUCACGGUGACCUCUUUACAGUUGACAAGAUGAAAUUGCUUUUCUUGAUCUCGACUUGUAGAGUGUCUCUUGCAAAGUGACCAAAGCACCUGGUAUCGUNNNNNNNNNNNNNNNNNNNNGGCCAAAACAUUAAACAUACAAUUUAAGUGGGGCAUGGAUGGCUGGAGGGGGAAUCAUGUCAUUUUUUUUUUUUGAGGAAAACAAACUUGUAUUGAAGAAGAAAGAACAGAAACCUAAGGCUUGAUCCCUAGCUGGGGAGAAAACCUUAGUGUUUCCGCAAAAUUGCAUGUGUUUGGCUGAGAUUUUUUGCUGAUUUUACUGUUUCUCAAGUUCUCUACAUCAAUAUGUUUGCGAAAAUCCCUACCAAGUCACCAACUACGUUCCGUACUACAUAUUUGGUGAAUAUUUUCAUGUCCAAAAGAGAAAGAUUAUAUUUAGGGAAUAUGUUGAAGUAAAUAGCCCAUGUUUCAUAACAUUUCAUGCCCAUUGAAAUCUAUAUUCCACUGCUACAAUGUGACCAAGUACUUAUUAAAAUUAUAUCCUUCAUUAGAUAUAGAAAUUAUGUCGCAAUGCAUAUUGGUACAAUUGCCAUGUGAUUCAUUGAUGAGCAUACUCAUCUUCAUGCAUCACCGUUUCUUUCCCUGUUGCUCCAUCUUGUAACUUGAAAAUAAGUUUAAAAAACUGUUUGUUGUGGUUUUAUAAAUUAGGAAAAAGUUUAGAUAAGGUUGCAUCCUUAUUUGUACAAAUAAGAUUGCAGUAAUUUACACCAUCCAUUUUAUUUGGCCAAUGUAGAUUUGACACUCUCUUAAAAUACGUGCCAUGUUUUGACACGAUCUUAAAAGAUGUGUCAAAUCUACACUGUCUAAAUAAAAUGAAUAGUAUAGAGUAUCGCAACCUUGUUUGUACAAAUAAGGUUGCAACCUUAUAAAAACCGCACCCUAUAUAUUGUAUAAUAGAGGGAAAAGUAUUUGGCCACUGCUGAGAAAGUGUGGUGUCCCUCAUUUCUAUAUGAUUUUUGGUGUUUUGAGAACCCAAACUCUACAGAUCCAUUCACUUGCACACUUAAAUUAUGAAUCUGAAGAGAAAAUGAUUUGGAGCCCUAAAAGUAGUCCUUCUUGAAUUACUGUUCAUUUCAAUAGACUGUGGAUCAGUCAGAUUUGCAUCAUUUUUAAUAGCUCCAAGUCCUUUUAAGUAAAUGUUAACAAAAAAUCUAUUUUAAUGGUCCCAAAUCCAUUUUUCUUGUGCAGAAAUGGAUUUUCAGGGGUUCGGAAUGGUUUUUGUAUCUCACUGUUCUUGUUAAAAUUGAUGCUACUGUAAAUGUUUGACAGUUGUGGGCCUGUGGCAGGUCUUAAAUUUCAUGUGGUUGAAAUUCCUUCUCAUUUGGCGUUAUUUCCGCUUUUGGGCGCUGGUAUGAUCUUGUCUCUCCAAUUAUAUGGUCAGCGGCGUUAACUAUGAUUUUGUCCAUUUAUAUAGUUGCAUGGACUUAUUUAGUUCGUUGACUUAAUUUGUAGCUACUUAUUGUCAAACCCUUACUGGAAUUCAAUCAAACUGAAUCCAUAUGAUGUAAUCUUGUUUUGUUGUACUGAUGUCUGCUAUAGUUUGUCAUGCCUGAUAUUUUUCAUCUCUUUCUUUUCAAUGAGUGAUGAACUCAUAAAGAGGAAAAAUGAACCUAAUUUAUGGUCGGUUAAAAUCAAGAGGAAAAAUGAACCUAAUUUAUGCUUGGUUAAAAUCACAAUUGGUAUAGAAUUCUUCACAAUCGCUAUAAAAUUAUUCACUCUCAACUUUGAUUCCCUUUUUAGAUAGUUUUCUGUUAUAUUAGUUGAUUGAAUUUAGCAGCCUGCUAAACAAUUUCCCUGAAAAAACAAAAUCCAGCUUCCGAUGGAUAACCACCAUUAAGGCAACUAUAUAGUCAUAUUCAUUGAGGCUCCUUCAAUAGUCAGGAAUCCCAUGAGAAUAUAGAGUGGUUUUAAGUAUAUAUAACUUGGCUGAAGUUCACAUUGAAUUUGCUGUCCCCAGUGGAUUGGAAGACAUUAUCUCUUGCUCUCCAUCAAAGUUUGUAACAAAGAAGCUUGAACCCAGUAGUAAUGGGUUGACAUUUGAACAUAUUUUAAAGAAUGAAGCUUUAGAGACUCUAUGGGGUUGGUUGCUCCAUUAGCCCCUCUCUACAUGAAACUUUUGAACACUUCCUGCCAUCCUUAGAGCAUUGAGAGCAGUUUGGUAGAUACUAAUCAUCACACUUGUUAAUCCCAUAUGAACACCAUGACCUACACUAAACCUAACACCAUUCCGAACUUCCCAAACCUAUGCUUUAAGUCUUGCCUAUGCUUGGGAUUCGUGAUGAGCAUAUUUACAAGGAUUCCUUCCUCUAUAGACUCACCUUCUGAACAGAUUUUCUCUACAGCCAUUUGGAUAUGAGAGUGACAUUUAACCAGGUUUGGGAUCCUGAAUUCCCGGACCUCACGGUGACCUCUUUACAGUUGACAAGAUGAAAUUGCUUUUCUUGAUCUCGACUUGUAGAGUGUCUCUUGCAAAGUGACCAAAGCACCUGGUAUCUUAGAUUCAGUGCCUCUAUUGAACUGAUUUUAUCGUUUUUCUUCUUUGGUAUUUGCAGAUUAUUAAUGAAGGAAACAUUGUGCUCUCUUGCUUGGUCUAGCAGUGUCUAUAAUUUGAAAAUGGACAUUGUUUUCUUUAUGCAUUAUUUGAAUGCAGAU
This 3751-nucleotide long non-coding RNA is filed under the name Amborella trichopoda. RNAcentral describes it as "long non-coding RNA (ATRI_LNC002869)". Lineage: Eukaryota; Viridiplantae; Streptophyta; Magnoliopsida; Amborellales; Amborellaceae. The record is from RNAcentral.